CCUACGGGAGGCAGCAGUGGGGAAUAUUGCACAAUGGGGGAAACCCUGAUGCAGCGACGCCGCGUGAGCGAAGAAGUAUUUCGGUACGUAAAGCUCUAUCAGCAGGGAAGAAAAUGACGGUACCUGACUAAGAAGCCCCGGCUAACUACGUGCCAGCAGCCGCGGUAAUACGUAGGGGGCAAGCGUUAUCCGGAUUUACUGGGGGUAAAGGGAGCGUAGACGGCAGCGCAAGUCUGGAGUGAAAUCCCAUGGCUUAACCAUGGAACUGCUUUGGAAACUGUGCAGCUAGAGUGCAGGAGAGGUAAGCGGAAUUCCUAGUGUAGCGGUGAAAUGCGUAGAUAUUAGGAGGAACACCAGUGGCGAAGGCGGCUUACUGGACUGUAACUGACGUUGAGGCUCGAAAGCGUGGGGAGCAAACAGGAUUAGAUACCCUUGUAGUC
This 440-nucleotide ribosomal RNA is filed under the name uncultured bacterium. RNAcentral's name for it is "partial 16S ribosomal RNA". It matches the Rfam family "Bacterial small subunit ribosomal RNA", at positions 338 to 795 of the family's 1533-position model. The record is from RNAcentral.